CCUCUUAUUCUUCUUCUCCGCGUGUGGGAGUAUAAGAUGGAGAGAGUGAUGAUAGUUGUGAUGAUGAUGCAUUGAGAUUGAUGAGGGAUUAUGUCUAAUGCUCAAAGAGAGUUCAAAUUCAAUUGAUGAUUGUGCUGUGAUUUUUAGUGAGUGUGAUUGUCAAUGAAUUAUGUGAUGAUUCUGAAUGAUUGUCAAUCAGAUAAUUUAGAGAGAAUUAUCAAAGAAUUAAGAAUUCAGAGAGAGUGUUUUUGGUGAAUGUGAUGGAUAUCCAUGAUUGGAGAGUGAUGAUGAGUUUAUAGAGCUUGAAGGUGCAACCAAUUAGGCAGGCUCGGGCCAGGUUAGUUGGAAGUUAGAGUAAGUUAAAUCAUGUUAAGUUUCUAAGAGCAAAGUGGUUAGGGAUGAAUAACUCUGUUAAUUUUGUCAAGUUUAGUUAUGAAUGUUUGUUAAAUCUAUUGACAUUGUUAGGUUCUGUUAGAGUUUGUUGUUAGCAGUUAGUGAAAUGAAGUUAAGUUAUUAGUUACAGUUAACUUGAUAAAACUGUUAGUGCAUACUUUUAGAAUUUAGUGGUUUUACUUUGUCAAUUCGGAAAGUUGUGAACUGAAUGUUAGGGAGUAUUAAAAGGUUGAAAUGUUAGUGAAGAUAUUAGUUAAAAUGGAAUUUGUUAACUUAGUUAUAAUUAGAGUGUAAGUAACGUAGUUGUCAAUUGAUAUGAAAAUUUGAAGUAGUUAGUGAAUGACAUUUUCUGUUAGGAACAUUGGUUAUGUGAUAGUUAAAUCGAAUUGUUGAAUUAUUAUGUUAGUUAGUCAUAGAUACUGAUGAAAAUUUGAAGAUAAAUGUCAUGAAAAUGAGUGAAUUUGAUUGUUAGUUAAAAAAAUUAGAACUGGUAAAAUAGUUAAUGUGGAAAGAAAAUGAUUAGGUUAAGUGGUCUUGCAAUGUUAGUAGGUUGGAUUGGACUAUCAUGGUUGUUUAAUGCAUUGUAUAAUUAACUUGUUGGUAGGUUAGUUAAUUGAUUAUACAUGUUUUAUAAGAAUUUGAAAUUGUUUUUGUCUAUGAUGAUUGGUUAGAACUGAAGUUGAGUUAAUAUGUUAGUGAAAUCCAAUGGUUAGCUAAAGGCUGUUAUGGAUGGAUUGAGUGAGUGUAUUUGAAUGCCUAUACAUGUGAAUCAUGCUUGAUUGGUCAUGGAAAGUUUUAGAACUUUGAAGACUUAGGAAGUUCAUUUGACAGUAGGAAUUCAAUGUGAAAUAUUGAAGGUUAUACUAGUUGGUAUGCUAUUUGAAUUGGCUUGUUUCUUGGUUUUUUUGCAUGUUUAAAUUACUUCUAAUUUUGAUAUGGAGGUAAUGUUAUAAAUUGGAAAUGGUAUGAAUGUAAUGAAUAUAUGUAUAUGAAUGGUAUGCUGAUGAUGUUUUAUUGAUCUAGCCUUGUUUAUUGCAAGUGUGCACAUAGGAUGGCUUGGUAUGCAAGGCUUGAUCAAAGUUGUUUAGCACAUCAUAACACAUUAAGAUGGAAGUCAAAAUCAAAGGAAGGAGAUUGGAGACUUGGAUGCUCAAUAAUGGGGGGACCUUGUGGAUGUAGAGAAAAUGAGAUUAGGGUCAUAAGAUUAGAUAGUUGACUUUGGUUAACUGGUUGACCAAAGAGUCAUUAGUUAACCAAAGUAAAAUGUAGGUCAAAAAUGAAAUUUUUGUAUAGGAUUGGGCUUUGAAUUUCUUGUAAUGGAAUUGGUGGAUUUUUACUUUGACUUUUGUAAUAUAACUUGCUUUCCCUCCGAAGUUUUGAAUAUUUGAAUAUGUGUUGAUCUUUUGCAAAAUAACCUUGACCCUUGAAUUUGAAUCA
Molecule: long non-coding RNA, 1830 nt
Filed under: Lathyrus oleraceus (garden pea)
Lineage: Eukaryota; Viridiplantae; Streptophyta; Magnoliopsida; Fabales; Fabaceae
Description: Pisum sativum (pea) long non-coding RNA (PSAT_LNC030878)
Source: RNAcentral